GCCCGCGUCUGAUUAGCUGGUUGGGAGGGUAACGUCCUACCAAGGCGACUAUCAGUAGCCGGCCUCAGAGGGCGGACGGCCACAUUGGGACUGAGACACGGCCCACUACUCCUACGAGGAGGCAGCUGGUGGGGAAUAUUGCACAAUGGGGGGAACCCUGAUGCAGCGACGCCGCGUGAGUGAAGAAGUAUUUCGGUAUGUAAAGCUCUAUCAGCAGGGAAGAAAAAAGGACGGUACCUGAGUAAGAAGCCCCGGCUAACUACGUGCCACCAGCCGCGGUAAUACGGUAGGGGGCAAGCGUUAUCCGGAAUUACUGGGUGUAAAGGGAGGGUAGACGGCAAUGCAAGUCCGGAGUGGAAUGCGGCAGCUCAACUGCCGAACUGCUCUGGAAACUGUCUGGCUUGAGUGCAGGAGGGGUAAGCGGAAUUCCUGGUGUAGCGGUGAAAUGCGUAGAUAUCAGGAGGAACACCGGUGGCGAAGGCGGCUUACUGGACUGUAACUGACGUUGAGGCUUGAAAGCGUGGGGAGCAAACAAAGUUAGAUACCCUGGUAGUUCACGCCGUAAAC
RNAcentral lists this ribosomal RNA (567 nucleotides) under uncultured bacterium. RNAcentral's name for it is "bacterial SSU rRNA". It matches the Rfam family "Bacterial small subunit ribosomal RNA", at positions 229 to 807 of the family's 1533-position model. The record is from RNAcentral.